This is a small nucleolar RNA of Tachyglossus aculeatus (Australian echidna), 138 nucleotides long. The record is from RefSeq and is a predicted model, not a curated record. Lineage: Eukaryota; Metazoa; Chordata; Mammalia; Monotremata; Tachyglossidae.
CCCCUCUCAGGAUCGCUCCUGGAGAUCUUCUAGUACUCUACCAGUCUCAGCUAUGGGAGGGAGAGUCAAGCAGAGACAUACCCAUUCCAUUCCUACCUUGGCCAAAGGUUAGCGAGUGGAAGGUAAUCUGCUACAAAU